GAUGAACGCUGGCGGCGUGCCUAAUACAUGCAAGUCGAGCGAACGGACGAGAAGCUUGCUUUUCUGAUGUUAGCGGCGGACGGGUGAGUAACACGUGGAUACCCUCCCUAUAAGACUGGGAUAACUUCGGGAAACCGGAGCUAAUACCGGAUAAUAUUUUGAACCGCAUGGUUCAAAAGUGAAAGACGGUCUUGCUGUCACUUAUAGAUGGAUCCGCGCUGCAUUAGCUAGUUGGUAAGGUAACGGCUUACCAAGGCAACGAUGCAUAGCCGACCUGAGAGGGUGAUCGGCCACACUGGAACUGAUACACGGUCCAGACUCCUACGGGAGGCAGCAGUAGGGAAUCUUCCGCAAUGGGCGAAAGCCUGACGGAGCAACGCCGCGUGAGUGAUGAAGGUCUUCGGAUCGUAAAACUCUGCUAUUAGGGAAGAACAAAUGUGUAAGUAACUGUGCACAUCUUGACGGUACCUAAUCAGAAAGCCACGGCUAACUACGUG
Molecule: ribosomal RNA, 497 nt
Filed under: uncultured bacterium
Lineage: Bacteria
Description: partial 16S ribosomal RNA
Rfam family: Bacterial small subunit ribosomal RNA
Source: RNAcentral